This 492-nucleotide ribosomal RNA is filed under the name uncultured bacterium. RNAcentral describes it as "partial 16S ribosomal RNA". It matches the Rfam family "Bacterial small subunit ribosomal RNA", at positions 29 to 507 of the family's 1533-position model. The record is from RNAcentral.
AGUGAACGCUGGCGGUAGGCCUAACACAUGCAAGUCGAACGGCAGCACAGUAAGAGCUUGCUCUUACGGGUGGCGAGUGGCGGACGGAUGAGGAAUACAUCGGAAUCUACUUUUUCGUGGGGGAUAACGUAGGGAAACUUACGCUAAUACCGCAUACGACCUACGGGUGAAAGCAGGGGAUCUUCGGACCUUGCGCGAUUGAAUGAGCCGAUGUCGGAUUAGCUAGUUGGCUGGGUAAAGGCCCACCAAGGCGACGAUCCGUAGCUGGUCUGAGAGGAUGAUCAGCCACACUGGAACUGAGACACGGUCCAGACUCCUACGGGAGGCAGCAGUGGGGAAUAUUGGACAAUGGGCGCAAGCCUGAUCCAGCCAUACCGCGUGGGUGAAGAAGGCCUUCGGGUUGUAAAGCCCUUUUGUUGGGAAAGAAAAGCAGCAGGUUAAUACCCCGCUGUUCUGACGGUACCCAAAGAAUAAGCACCGGCUAACUUCGUG